GAUGAACGCUGGCGGCGUGCUUAACACAUGCAAGUCGAACGGAAAGGCCCAAGCUUGCUUGGGUACUCGAGUGGCGAACGGGUGAGUAACACGUGGGUGAUCUGCCCUGCACUUCGGGAUAAGCCUGGGAAACUGGGUCUAAUACCGGAUAGGACCACUUCUUGGAUGUUGUGGUGGAAAGUUUUUUCGGUGUGGGAUGAGCUCGCGGCCUAUCAGCUUGUUGGUGGGGUAAUGGCCUACCAAGGCGUCGACGGGUAGCCGGCCUGAGAGGGUGUACGGCCACACUGGGACUGAGAUACGGCCGAGACUCCUACGAGAGGCAGCAGUGGGGAAUAUUGCACAAUGGGCGCAAGCCUGAUGCAGCGACGCCGCGUGGGGGAUGACGGCCUUCGGGUUGUAAACUCCUUUCGCUAGGGACGAAGCGUUUUGUGACGGUACCUGGAGAAGAAGCACCGGCUAACUACGUG
Molecule: ribosomal RNA, 467 nt
Filed under: uncultured bacterium
Lineage: Bacteria
Description: partial 16S ribosomal RNA
Rfam family: Bacterial small subunit ribosomal RNA
Source: RNAcentral